UGUGAGUGCGCCCUUAUUCACGCUGUAUUGAGGGACUCAAAGGUGUUUGGUCCGCAGCAUGAUUUCCUAAUACACAGAGAGAGGACAAAGUUCAGUAGUUCUAUUGAAACUCCAGACAGUUCUUAGGCACUAUUUACUUUGACAAAUCUCGACCAUCGCCGCAGAUAUAUCAGGCCAAUGGAAUAACACAGAGGAACAACGCAAAUGAACAACUUCAAGGACUCCGUCACGUGACCACGAACCCAUCGGAACUCUCUUCCUCAAGCUUGCUUAUGCGCACAUACAUCUGCCUCACAUAAGCCAAUGCAAGUAUCAUUUAUUAAUUCGAUGACGCAUUAGUUAUUACCAUUGUGUCUAUAUGCGUAGUUAGGGGUUGUGCACACCAAAACUUUUAAACCCGGAUGAAAACGCCUGGAGGACGCUGAAUAGGGGUGGGCGAUAAACCGGUAGACAAAAUUAACCGGUAGAAAUUUGUUAACCGGUAGAGAUUUUGGACUAUCGUUUCUAUCGAGGUUACGUGCCCACGUCACGCUCCUGUGCGUGUGGUCACGAAAACGUAACGUUUGUACACGUAUUUAAGCACUGCAGUUUUAAAACAAGUUAUUUUAAGCCAUUGAAACACAGACAACAGAUCUGUAUGCGUGCGUUCUUUCUGUGUGUCAGGAGCGGACAAGUCGCGCAACCGCUGCUCUUUCUGUCUGUGAGGAGCGCGCAAGUCGCGCGACCUCUGCUUAUUAAGCUCGUGAGCAUUUUUCCCGCUUUAUUGGCCUUAAAUACACAUAUGCGUCAAAAUUCCCGUCUUUGCAAGCAUCAUCAUAAACACGACCAGUAAGGUCUUAAGAGAAAGUAAACAGCUAAAAGAGAAAGCGCAUGUGUAACGCAUGUAUUGGAUCCGGACUUUGGUCUUAAAGGGGAAGUUACCUAAUUUUGCUCCUGUCUGUCACUCGUGUUAAUCAAACAGGAUUGAGAAAAAAAUCUCUCACUGCUCCUGAUUAAAUCACUUUUCUACCUUAAAUAAAAAUAUAUAUAGGCCUAUACAUACAUGCAUAAUUAUUUAUUAUCAUUCUUAUUGACUGUGUAUCUUCA
This is a non-coding RNA of Paramisgurnus dabryanus, 1086 nucleotides long. The record is from RefSeq and is a predicted model, not a curated record. NCBI's taxonomy places the organism in Eukaryota, Metazoa, Chordata, Actinopteri, Cypriniformes, Cobitidae.